UACGGAGGGGGCUAGCGUUGUUCGGAAUUACUGGGCGUAAAGCGCGCGUAGGCGGCGAUAUAAGUCAGAGGCGAAAGCCUGGAGCUCAACUCCAGAACUGCCUUUGAAACUAUAUUGCUAGAGUGUUGGAGGGGAUAGCGGAAUUGCUAAUGUAGAGGUGAAAUUCGUAGAUAUUAGCAGGAACACCGGUGGCGAAGGCGGCUAUCUGGACAACAACUGACGCUGAGGCGCGAAAGCGUGGGGAGCAAAAGGG
Molecule: ribosomal RNA, 253 nt
Filed under: uncultured bacterium
Lineage: Bacteria
Description: partial 16S ribosomal RNA
Rfam family: Bacterial small subunit ribosomal RNA
Source: RNAcentral